CCUACGGGUGGCAGCAGUGGGGAAUAUUGGACAAUGGGCGAAAGCCUGAUCCAGCCAUGCCGCGUGUGUGAAGAAGGCCUUCGGGUUGUAAAGCACUUUCAGUGGGGAAGAAAGCCUUGGGGCUAAUACCCUCGAGGAAGGACAUUACCCACAGAAGAAGCACCGGCUAACUCCGUGCCAGCAGCCGCGGUAAUACGGAGGGUGCGAGCGUUAAUCGGAAUUACUGGGCGUAAAGCGCGCGUAGGCGGUCUGUUAAGCCGGUUGGGAAAGCCCCGGGCUCAACCUGGGAACGGCAUCCGGAACUGUCAGGCUAGAGUGCAGGAGAGGAAGGUAGAAUUCCCGGUGUAGCGGUGAAAUGCGUAGAGAUCGGGAGGAAUACCAGUGGCGAAGGCGGCCUUCUGGACUGACACUGACGCUGAGGUGCGAAAGCGUGGGUAGCAAACAGGAUUAGAUACCCGUGUAGUC
This 465-nucleotide ribosomal RNA is filed under the name Vreelandella stevensii. Its description in RNAcentral is "partial 16S ribosomal RNA". It matches the Rfam family "Bacterial small subunit ribosomal RNA", at positions 338 to 795 of the family's 1533-position model. Lineage: Bacteria; Pseudomonadati; Pseudomonadota; Gammaproteobacteria; Oceanospirillales; Halomonadaceae. The record is from RNAcentral.